AGCGAACGCUGGCGGCAGGCCUAACACAUGCAAGUCGAACGAGCCUUUCGGGGUUAGUGGCGGACGGGUGAGUAACACGUGGGAACGUGCCUUUAGGUUCGGAAUAACUCAGGGAAACUUGUGCUAAUACCGAAUGUGCCCUUCGGGGGAAAGAUUAAUCGCCUUUAGAGCGGCCCGCGUCUGAUUAGCUAGUUGGUUGAGGUAAUGGCUCACCAAGGCGACGAUCAGUAGCUGGUCUGAGAGGAUGAUCAGCCACAUUGGGACUGAGACACGGCCCAAACUCCUACGGGAGGCAGCAGUGGGGAAUCUUGCGCAAUGGGCGAAAGCCUGACGCAGCCAUGCCGCGUGAAUGAUGAAGGUCUUAGGAUUGUAAAAUUCUUUCACCGGGGACGAUAAUGGCGGUACCCGGAGAAGAAGCCCCGGCUAACUUCGUG
This 434-nucleotide ribosomal RNA is filed under the name uncultured bacterium. RNAcentral's name for it is "partial 16S ribosomal RNA". It matches the Rfam family "Bacterial small subunit ribosomal RNA", at positions 29 to 507 of the family's 1533-position model. The record is from RNAcentral.